AGUUAGACCUGCGAUGAGCGAUUUAUUGGAAGAAAAACCGCAACUGAAAGGAAACCACGACUGAAGACGAGGGAACAACAACAAGUGAACCAGCCCGAAGACUGAGAGCACCGACUGGACAGAACCCUCCUGACUCAGAGUUUCCAUUGAUUCGGUCAGCAGAAAGUCUGUUGGACCUGCGGUGAGAGGUUUAUUGGAAGAAAAGCCCGUGACCGAAAGCAAACCACAACUGAAGACGAGGGAACAGUAACAAGGAACCAACCGGAGGACUGAAAGCACCAACUCGAGGGAACCCUUCUGACUCGGAGUUAACACUGGCUCAGUCAGGAGAAAGUUUGGUCAUUGCCAGCAGGUGGGGCUUUCUUCCACUCGGACGGAAGACAAGAAGAAGACAAUCAACCAACGUCAGUCAGAGUCAGAAUGGACACAGGUAUG
Molecule: long non-coding RNA, 435 nt
Organism: Hypanus sabinus (Atlantic stingray)
Lineage: Eukaryota; Metazoa; Chordata; Chondrichthyes; Myliobatiformes; Dasyatidae
Exons: 3
Source: RefSeq, a predicted model, not a curated record